CCUAGUAAAGUGGCGUACGGGUGAGUAACACGUGGGUGAUCUACCUCUUAGUGAGGAAUAACCCUGGGAAACCGGGGCUAAUACCGCAUAAGCCUUAGCAGGGAAAGUCGAAAGACGCUGAGAGAGGAGCCCGCGGCCGAUUAGCUAGUUGGUGAGGUAAAAGCCCACCAAGGCAGAGAUCGGUAGCCGGCCUGAGAGGGCACACGGCCACACUGGCACUGAAACACGGGCCAG
Molecule: ribosomal RNA, 234 nt
Filed under: uncultured bacterium
Lineage: Bacteria
Description: partial 16S ribosomal RNA
Rfam family: Bacterial small subunit ribosomal RNA
Source: RNAcentral